This 253-nucleotide ribosomal RNA is filed under the name uncultured prokaryote. Its description in RNAcentral is "partial 16S ribosomal RNA". It matches the Rfam family "Bacterial small subunit ribosomal RNA", at positions 524 to 776 of the family's 1533-position model. The record is from RNAcentral.
GACGAACCGUGCGAACGUUGUUCGGAUUUACUGGGCGUAAAGGGCGCGUAGGCGGCAAUUCAAGUCAGCUGUGAAAUCUCCGGGCUUAACUCGGAACGGUCAGCUGAUACUGCUUUGCUAGAGUGCAGAAGGGGCAAUCGGAAUUCUCGGUGUAGCGGUGAAAUGCGUAGAUAUCGAGAGGAACACCUGAGGUGAAGACGGGUUGCUGGGCUGACACUGACGCUGAGGCGCGAAAGCCAGGGUAGCAAACAGG